RNAcentral lists this ribosomal RNA (253 nucleotides) under uncultured bacterium. Its description in RNAcentral is "partial 16S ribosomal RNA". It matches the Rfam family "Bacterial small subunit ribosomal RNA", at positions 524 to 776 of the family's 1533-position model. The record is from RNAcentral.
UACGUAGGGUGCAAGCGUUAUCCGGAAUUAUUGGGCGUAGAGAGCUCGUAGGCGGUUUGUCGCGUCUGCUGUGAAAACCCGAGGCUCAACCUCGGGCCUGCAGUGGGUACGGGCAGACUAGAGUGCGGUAGGGGAGAAUGGAAUUCCUGGUGUAGCGGUGAAAUGCGCAGAUAUCAGGAAGAACACCCGUGGCGAAGGCGGUUCUCUGGGACGGUACUGACGCUGAGACGCGAAAGCGUGGGGAGCGAACAGG